AACGCACGAGACCUGCGGACCUGCGGAAGGAUCAUUAAAGUAUUAUUGGGGUUCUUUAUGAGCCUAACAAUCUGACUUUGUGGUAAUAAUGAAAAAUAGGAUUUGGGUUUAAAGAUGAUGCCUUCUAAAGAAAUUUAGAGGUAUCGACCCAAACUUUUUUAUCAACUCUUUUUACUAUUUGACUGAAUUUAUCAAGUAAUCCAAUUUUCUUUGGGUUAAAAAAGUUUUAAAUAACUUUCA
Molecule: unclassified non-coding RNA, 240 nt
Filed under: soil metagenome
Description: partial contains 5.8S ribosomal RNA, internal transcribed spacer 2, and large subunit ribosomal RNA
Source: RNAcentral